This 264-nucleotide ribosomal RNA is filed under the name uncultured bacterium. RNAcentral describes it as "partial 16S ribosomal RNA". It matches the Rfam family "Bacterial small subunit ribosomal RNA", at positions 793 to 1055 of the family's 1533-position model. The record is from RNAcentral.
GUCCACGCCGUAAACGGUGGGCACUAGGUGUGGGUCACAUUCCACGUGAUCCGUGCCGCAGCUAACGCAUUAAGUGCCCCGCCUGGGGGAGUACGGCCGCAAGGCUAAAACUCAAAGGAAUUGACGGGGGCCCGCACAAGCGGCGGAGCAUGCGGAUUAAUUCGAUGCAACGCGAAGAACCUUACCUGGGUUUGACAUAUGCCGGAAAGCUGCAGAGAUGUGGCCUCCCUUUGGGCCGGUUUACAGGUGGUGCAUGGCUGUCGU